UAUUUGAAUGUGCGAAUCGGGGCAGCCCCGAUGUNGAAUUUGAAACAACUUUCAACAACGGAUCUCUUGGCUCUCGCAUCGAUGAAGAACGCAGCGAAAUGCGAUAAGUAAUGUGAAUUGCAGAAUUCAGUGAAUCAUCGAAUCUUUGAACGCACCUUGCGCCCCUUGGUAUUCCGAGGGGCAUGCCUGUUUGAGUGUCUUGAAAUCAUCAAGCCCCUCGGCGCUCGUCGCCGGAGGGCUUGGACUUGGGGGUCUUGCUGACGCUUCGGCGCCGGCUCCCCUUAAAUGAAUCGGUCGGGCUUAUCGUGUGCCGGUCCACGGGCGUUGUAUCAUCCUCGUCCUGGGAUGGCGCUCGACUCGAAGGCCCCUCCUCGACCUGCCUAUGGAGCGGCGGUCAAAGGCGCUUUGCCACUUUGUGAUCUGACCUCAAAUCAGGUAUGACUACCUGCUGAACUUAAGCAUAUCAAUAAGCGGAGGA
This 478-nucleotide ribosomal RNA is filed under the name uncultured Basidiomycota. RNAcentral describes it as "eukaryotic LSU rRNA". The stretch from base 47 to 200 matches the Rfam family "5.8S ribosomal RNA". Lineage: Eukaryota; Fungi; Basidiomycota. The record is from RNAcentral.